Molecule: long non-coding RNA, 402 nt
Organism: Poeciliopsis prolifica (blackstripe livebearer)
Lineage: Eukaryota; Metazoa; Chordata; Actinopteri; Cyprinodontiformes; Poeciliidae
Exons: 3
Source: RefSeq, a predicted model, not a curated record
AAAGAACAGUAGGUGCUGCUCCUCUGCAUGAUUAAACCUGCGUCCCUCUUGUGGUGCCUCAGGCAGGCCGUUUGAAAUCUGUAAUGCAUGUAAGAUCAGGACUGGAAACUUUCAGGCUACUUCCUAAAGCUCAAAGAGUGAACUUGAACUUAAAGAUUGCUUUUCUCAAACCUAUGCAUUCCUGGAACUCACUCUUCCUCAUAUGGGACAUUUUUCUGGAACUCAGUUGGUUCCCAUCCUGGAACUUAGAUGUUAUUUUCAGCCUAAAUUAUGAUGAUCCAUCAAGUCCAGAUGAAAAACAUCAUAUUUGUGGGUCUAUUCGUUUGGCUCGCCGAUAAUGAAUUUGUUGGCGCUAAAACGAAGCUUCCAGAGAUGGAAAAAAAAAGGAUCUGCUGAACGUUU